Papaver somniferum (opium poppy) is the source of this 3371-nucleotide long non-coding RNA. RefSeq lists it as uncharacterized. The record is from RefSeq and is a predicted model, not a curated record. The transcript is spliced from 5 exons. Lineage: Eukaryota; Viridiplantae; Streptophyta; Magnoliopsida; Ranunculales; Papaveraceae.
CAGAAUAUAUUAUCCAUAUAUUAUUAAAUCAGAUUUUUCUCCCAUUCAUGUUCGAUAUAUUUAAAGAAACAACAUCUUAUGCCAAAUUUAGUUUUUUUUUUCCAUUGGCAACUUAUGAAAUUUAGCUUUGCUCAUUGGCAACUAAUGCCAAAUAUGCCAAAUUUAGCGUUAAAAAUAUGUUCAUUCAACCAAAAAAAAUUCUGGGAAAUUUCGUUGCGACCAAAGUUACGGAGGCGUAUAUUUUCUUCUGAAAUUCUACAGAAUUUUGGUUUUCCUUCGGAUCAUUGAUUGUAUAUCAAAUCCUUUUUGGUUUUAUUCAUUCGGAUUUUUUUCUUCUUUCACAUUACAAAACCCUAAUAUUCACUCACCACAUGGCUUUUCUCUGUGUUCGUAGCAUGGGUAUCUAAUAUGACUUGAUUUGUUGUAAAUGAACACCACAUGCUACUGGGAAGCAAGGAUCGUUGAACUGCCGGAAAAUGAAGAUUGGUAUUAUACUUGCAAAACUUGCAACAAGAAGGUAGAAUAACCUUGCCUUGAUAUUUCCUUAAUUUGUCGCCUCUGGUAAUUAAGCUUAUAUUGUGUACGCUUGGAGGUUAUUGUUUUUCAUUGCGGUGUAAUUCAUUACAUAUAUCUUGGAUUUAUAUAUUAGAGCAUUAUUUAUAUGAUUGAAUUUCUUCUCUGUAGAUUACCAUGUACCAGAUGUUUUGUAUUUUGCAGAUAAAAUUUGAAAUUUCCUAUUACCUUCUCGAAAGGGACAUAUAUCCCAUCUGUGUGCAGAUCAUGGGAAGACUCUUGGAGUAUUCCAUAUGAUAUUUUGACAGCUGAUGCUUUACCGACCAUCACAGACUCCUAAUGAUUAUUUUUGUGAUGAUGUUUAAGCUUAACGAUAUUCAACAAGUCCCAAGAUAUAUGCUUCAUAAGCACGUUAGGUUUACUAUUGACUCAUUCCUACAAUUACUACAUUUUUUGUUACUACAUAGACAGAACUUCCAUGCCCUUGCUUUCAGUUAUCACAAGAGGAAAAAUCUACACACUAAAGUUGAUUGAAUUGACAGCUCCGAUCUUUGUUAGCCUGUAUCCUAGCUUCAGAAGGGAAUGGUUCUGAAUUGUAACUUAUACCAAAAAUAAAUAAAAUAUAUUUAAACUGUUUUUGAGCUUAUAUGACUGUCUUACUUAAUUUCUCCAAACGUAUUGCACAAUGUUAUUGAAAUGUGCAUGACAAGCGCCGGUGUUAAAGAUUGGAAAACAAGAAAAGCUAUGCCAGAAUACACGGGGUAAAGUCUUUCUCAAAUAAAUGGAUUCUAUAAAUACUUAAGUGACCAAAGGAAUAUCAACUCCUUGGUUGACCCUGUACUCAGCACAACGAGCUCAAAAUUAUUUAUGGAAUCAUUCAGGGGCUGCUCCAUGAGGAUCCGAGAAAACGACUUUCAAUUGGAGAGGUCGUUACUUAAAUUGAGAUAAAGCUCUACACACUUGGGUUGCGGGUUAUGCUUCUUGACCAGGUGGUUUCAGGACUGUUCCGAACGGUUGCAGGACUUCGGAGAAACAUGGUUGUUGCAAGUACAGUUGCCUCAUUUGUGUUAGACAUUCUUUUGGCCUUCAGCAGUAUCAGAACUCAAACUGAAAAUUGAUCUUGGGUAUAAUAUACAUGCUUUUGUUUUUUGUUUUCUUAUCUUCGUUUCUGUUUGCUCCAGUAAAUAUAAAAAAAAUGGUGAAUGAAAGGACAAAUGUACUAAAGAAGUUGGAACGUAGAUAAGAUCAACUCAAAUUUUUUAAAUCUUUUGUCUGCAGUUUGUUCCCGAUGUUACAGAUAAACUAGGAAUAGCUGUUUUGAAAUCGAGUCGAUUCUAUUACGCAAGACCUUAUUGGUUGGACUAUGGGCUUUAUAACUGGCUAACUUGGCUGACUUUUCUGUGGUUUAAGCUAUCUAAUGAUUUUUGUUGCAUAGAUUUGUUUUUCAGGUUUCAUAGACGGGUUUAAUGAGGCAGAGGGAGCUUAACCCACGAAGUUUCCACCUGGCACACCACUUCCACCAAUCCCAGUUGAUAUUUAAUUGGAAAAUCAUGGCAACUUGGAGAAAAUAUUAUGGGUAAGUUGAGUUGCAAAGCAAAUUUUCCCGCCAAGACUUCAAAGCAUCCAGACGUAUUGGGGUUCAAACAUUUCCUCUCUGCAAAAGCGCUCACUCUACAUCUUUAUUUAAUUAUUUAUCAUAACUAACUCUAUUUAUGAUACGAUGAAUCAUAUUUUGAUGAAAAAAGAAUUUAGGCGUUCAAAAUAUGGGAAUCAUGUUCAAGCUUUCAGAGUUCAUGGAUAGGUAGCAACCAACUCGAAAUAUGUUACCUUUGCAGUCAAUUUUUUUUUUAAAAAAAGAAGAAGGCUUACUCCGCACAACCUCUGAUCCUGGGACACCAAAUCAUGUUUAUCAGGGACUUGGUAAUAUUGUAAUGAUGGAGCUAAGGCAGAUCUGGUCAUGUGGUGUGAUCCUUUUCUCUCACAUAGAUGGCAAUAUUUGUUCUGGAAAAUCAAACCUAAUGGAAUUAUUCAAAAAGAAAAUUUCUUUUGUUGAGUUAAUCUUAAUGAUGUCGACAAUAUGGCCAACAAUUAUCUAAGCAGAGAUUUUUGUUAGGUGAACUGGCUCAUUUAUAUUUCUAUUUUCCUCUUUUGUGUUCAUUAAUAUGAGCAGGCAACAUCUUUGUGUUGUACGUUCACGUAGAUUUGAAGUCGAUCUAAGCAAAUGUAAGAUGAGUACCAAUUGUAAUAAUAGUUGGGUUUGAAAUCUUAACUUUUAUGUCCAGUCUUUCUUUCAACCGAAUGUCACCUAUUGAUUGGAUUUGGUGUUUAUCACUUUAAGAAAGCAACGUAUAUUGAUUGUGCCUUCCAUGACUAGAGGUAUGCCAAUGCCCAAUAUAUACUGAAAAUCUCACUUAAACCAGUCUAUUAUUUAAUUAAACCAGUCUAUUAUUUAAUUUUGAUUUCCAAUUAUGAAAAAUGUAUAUACUGCCUCAUAGUAGUUCUUUGGGUGCUUUGUGUAAUGAAAGAAACAAUAGUGAAUUGAUUCAUUGGUUCGUAUGUGAGAUCAAGAACUUAGCAUGCAGACAAGAACUUUGUGUACUGAAAGAAACAAUAGUGAAUUGAUUCAUUGGUUCGUGUGUGAGAUCAAGAACUUAGCAUGCAGACAAGAACGUAGCACUGAUGUUAUAAUGGAUAUAUUACUGAGAUCGAAUCAUUGACCCACCCUGAUUAUGUUUAGUCCUAUGAUUAUGUAGGCUUUAUAUUUAUCUUUGUUUGUAAUCUGCUUUUUUCCCGAUUAGUCGUCGUACUUUGACUAACCUUAUCUUUGAGAAACAUUCAUUUCUCAAAUUUUAAAAUAU